RNAcentral lists this ribosomal RNA (421 nucleotides) under uncultured bacterium. RNAcentral describes it as "bacterial SSU rRNA". It matches the Rfam family "Bacterial small subunit ribosomal RNA", at positions 356 to 773 of the family's 1533-position model. The record is from RNAcentral.
GAGGAAUAUUGGUCAAUGGACGGAAGUCUGAACCAGCCAAGUAGCGUGAAGGAUGACUGCCCUAUGGGUUGUAAACUUCUUUUAUAUGGGAAUAAAGUGCGCCACGUGUGGUGUUUUGUAUGUACCAUUAUGAAUAAGCAUCGGCUAACUCCGUGCCAGCAGCCGCGGUAAUACGGAGGAUGCGAGCGUUAUCCGGAUUUAUUGGGUUUAAAGGGAGCGUAGGUGGGCUGGUAAGUCAGCUGUGAAAGUUUGCGGCUCAACCGUAAAAUUGCAGUUGAUACUGUCAGUCUUGAGUACAGUAGAGGUUAGCGGAAUUCGUGGUGUAGCGGUGAAAUGCUUAGAUAUCACGAAGAACUCCAAUUGCGAAGGCAGCUGACUAGACUGUUACUGACACUGAUGCUCGAAAGUGUGGGUAUCAAAC